UACGUAGGGUGCAAGCGUUGUCCGGAAUUAUUGGGCGUAAAGAGCUCGUAGGCGGUCUGUCGCGUCGGCUGUGAAAUCCCGAGGCUCAACCUCGGGUCUGCAGUCGAUACGGGCAAACUGGAGUGUUGCAGGGGAGACUGGAAUUCCUGGUGUAGCGGUGAAAUGCGCAGAUAUCAGGAGGAACACCGAUGGCGAAGGCAGGUCUCUGGGCAUUAACUGACGCUGAGGAGCGAAAGCAUGGGGAGCGAACAGG
Molecule: ribosomal RNA, 253 nt
Filed under: uncultured bacterium
Lineage: Bacteria
Description: partial 16S ribosomal RNA
Rfam family: Bacterial small subunit ribosomal RNA
Source: RNAcentral